This 789-nucleotide ribosomal RNA is filed under the name uncultured bacterium. Its description in RNAcentral is "bacterial SSU rRNA". It matches the Rfam family "Bacterial small subunit ribosomal RNA", at positions 64 to 860 of the family's 1533-position model. The record is from RNAcentral.
GAGCGAGAAAGGGUAGCAAUACCUGAGUAAAGCGGCGCACGGGUGAGUAACACGUGGGUAAUCUGCCCUGGAGUGGGGAAUAACACCGGGAAACCGGUGCUAAUACCGCAUACGAUCGCGAUGUUUUCGGAUGUUGCGAUGAAAGGAGCAAUUCGCUCCAGGAGGAGCCCGCGGCUGAUUAGCUAGUUGGUGAGGUAAUGGCUCACCAAGGCUACGAUCAGUAUCCGGUCUGAGAGGACGGUCGGACACACUGGAACUGAGACACGGUCCAGACUCCUACGGGAGGCAGCAGUGGGGAAUUUUUCGCAAUGGGGGCAACCCUGACGAAGCAACGCCGCGUGGAUGAUGAAGUAUCUCGGUACGUAAAAUCCUUUCGACGGGGAAGAAACCGCAAGGUUGACGGUACCCGUAGAAGAAGCCCCGGCUAACUCCGUGCCAGCAGCCGCGGUAAUACGGGGGGGGCGAGCGUUGUUCGGAAUUACUGGGCGUAAAGGGCGCGUAGGCGGUCUACUAAGUUGGAUGUGAAAACUCUGGGCUUAACCCAGAGCCUGCAUUCAAUACUGAUAGGCUGGAGUUCUGGAGGGGAUAGCGGAAUUCCUGGUGUAGCGGUGAAAUGCGUAGAUAUCAGGAGGAACACCGGUGGCGAAGGCGGCUAUCUGGACAGAAACUGACGCUGAGGCGCGAAAGCUAGGGGAGCAAACAGGAUUAGAUACCCUGGUAGUCCUAGCCCUAAAGAUGGGAUACUUGGUGUGACCGGGAUUGAAUCCGGUCGUGCCGAAGCUAACGCAU